AGCACAUGCCCGCAUAUCUUCUCACCCAUUACUGUUCAUGGGAAUUUUAGGACUGAUCCUGGAAGAUGCUGAGUAGGUCCCAGGAUCUUCAGUUCAGGAUCUUGGUCUACUAGUGAUAAGAAUUUUCCUUAUAACACCCUUUCAGACUCAGACCAACUGGAUAUAAGGAGUGCUACAGGCCAGGAUACCUUAAAGGACCAUGUAACUCAGAAGACUCGAUCUUUUACUGAUGAGACCUAUUCACCCAAGGAUUCGUAUAUUGAAGUACAAAUAAUAGCUGUCUCCAAUGUUACACUAAAGGGUACAGUUUAUUACCUCACUACUAAAACAAAAUUGUGGUGUACGUUGGACUAUGCAAAUAAUUCAGCAGGUUUUUUGAUCU
Molecule: long non-coding RNA, 382 nt
Organism: Mauremys reevesii (Reeves's turtle)
Lineage: Eukaryota; Metazoa; Chordata; Testudines; Geoemydidae
Exons: 4
Source: RefSeq, a predicted model, not a curated record